UUGGGAAGUCACUUAACCUUCCUGGGCCUCAAUUUCUUUAUCUGUAAAAUGGAAAUCAUAAUACCUCUUUUAUAGGAUUAUAGUGAGGAUUACACAAAACAAUAAUGGAGGGGGUAUGGGAGGAUGGGGUAUUUUAUUGCCUAUUUUUAUUGAAGUCGUAAUACUUAUACCAAGCAGCACCAGCCACCAAAUGUAGGGUCCAUAUAGUGCUGGCUAUUUGUCUUUUGGGUGGAAAAAAUUUUUUUCUUCUUCAAUUCAGUUUCCACUAGGUUUACUUCUUUUUUCUUUCCUUUCUUUCUUUCUUAACUUGAAACACUGUGCCUCUGGGCUGCCACCUCCAGUCCUAGUCCUUUUUCCUCUUCCCUAGGGGUAUCCACUGAAACUGGUUGUGUGCCAAGACCUUUUAAUGUAACCUUAUAAUGUACUCUAAUAGCUGGUAGGUUUUUGAAAGUAAAUGAUAAACUCUAUUUUACACUGAAACUUGGCUUUUUUUCCACCUAACUUUGUAUUCAAGAGAUUUGUUCAGGCUAAUGCAUAUACAUCCGUCUUAUUCUUUUAAACAACUGUAUGGUAUUCAAAAUAUGAAUGAAUCAUAGCCAUUGGAUAUUUUAGUUGUUUAUAUACAUUUACUUUUACUACAGUCCUGAAUGAAGUGUAUUUUACAUACCUUCUCUACUAAAGCACAUGUGUAUUUCCAAAGUAGUUGAGGUCUCAAGGUAAUAUUGUUCGGCCAAAAGGUGUGCUUCCCUGGGUUCUUCAGGGCUUUGCAAUUGCCAGCUUCAUGUAACCCUAACCAGUUCUCAGCCAACCUCCUUUCUCUGUUUGAAUACUCCAUCCCUUUAUUUUUUGUAGUCUCUACGUGCAGGUCAAGUGUGUAGCACAUAUUUGAGGAGGUCUAGGAAAGCUUUGUUAUUUUUUUAGCUGUUUGGUCUCUGGAACCCAUGGACUUUGUCAGUGUGGAGGGACACCUAUCAAUAUUGUAACUAGAAAAGUUGGCAAAGGUAAAAGGUAAAUUUGAUGCCUUUAAGAAGUGGCUCUGAUAAUGUCCAAAUUAAUAAUUUCUACUUUUGUUUUCUGAUGAAAUAAUCAGAAAUCUUAAUUUUUCUAUUUUGUACAGCUAAUAAAAUAGUAGUGAUUUUAUAUCCAGACUACUUAGUAAUAAUUUUCUACCUUUUUUUCUGGAUGAACAUUAAUAAUCAGGAAUCUCAGUUUUUUUAUUUUGUAUAACUUAAAACAGAAUACUGAUGAAAGAAUUGAAAGAAUAAUGAUGCUAAAGCAGUAAGGUGUCAGUGAAAAAUCACAUGGAAAAAUACUCAUCUGUGAUGAGCUUUAAGCCUUCUUUGCAUUUUAUGAAAUUGAAAAUGACCCAUUGUAUUCUGAUGGAGCUUGCAGUGAGACCAAAGGAAGAGAGAAAAUUUUCAAAGACUGUGCAAGGGAAGGUGCAGAGCAGUUAUCUACACUCACUUCUGGAAAUUGGAGAGCUGCUGAAAAAAAGACUGGAGACCACAAAGAAACUAAAAAUUUAAGGAAGUGUGAACCACAGGCACCAAUGACUCUACAGCAGAAAAUGACAUCAUCUUCCCAGGCAAAAGCUACAACUGGUUGACCAUCAUUUUAAUCCAGAACUUCCUCAUAAAAUGCAUGAAGGACUUUGAUUGUGAAUUAAUUUUUUAGGUAUUAAAUGUAUACAACUGAUUAAAUUAUUGUAUAUAAAGCAGAAGCAGGACCCUCAUCUGGGUUUGACCACUUUUUAUACAUGUUCAUAUGCAUAUGGCAGCCUCAAGAGAGCCCCACUUUUCUUCUUUCCUUCUAUCACCAGAAACAUCUGGUGGGUGGGUGCGGGGGGGGGGGUCCUAUAAAAGCAGCAAUAGAAAUUAAGCAUAAAGCAUUGACCUCAGAGCAGCUGAAUGGGCCUACCAUUAUCGUAGCGGGUGUUUGGUCUGGUCCUUGAGCCUUAGGAAGCAGAAAGCAGAAGUAUAGGGGGACCGUGACUGGGAGAAGGCCCUCUUUCCACAUUAGUUUAGUUUUGAGGCUUCCUCAGCUGCUUGGCUCCCACAGAACCCAAAGCAGGUACCCAAAGAGCCUCAGAUGAAAUUUGGCAUAAGCACCUGUCACUGAAGAGCACUACUCAGAUGACCACGGGCACUCAGUGUUUGGCUUAAUAGUCCAAAAGCCAAGAAAUCCCCAUCCUAGCUCCUGUGAAAGUUAAGUCACAGAUAGGCUUGUGUUAACUUACACCAUAUGGAGGGGAAAGCAGUGCAGACCACUUAUGAGCCUGCUGAGGACUAGCUUGCUGUCUUUCUCCAUCUUUGGGAAAGAUGGGAAUCACUGUUUAAAGAAGAGAGGUGUACAUAAUUUAUGCAAGCAAGUCUAAUACCAAUGUCAUUGGUUUUGUGAGAUAUAUAUAUAUGUAUAUGCUUUUACAUAUAUAUUUUCAAGCAUAUAUAUAUGCUUGAAAAUAGAUUUAAUACUUUAGUGUUUUUUAAGUGGGGGGUUUGGGGAGGAAGGAAGGAAUGUAUAUUAUGGACUUAACCUAGGUUUUAAGUUUUAGGCUGGCAAAAGAAAUGUUACCCAUUGGGUUUGACGUUUGGUCUACUUUCUUCAAACUUGAGAAUUACACCAGGAUGGUGUUUACAUUGCUUACCUGGAGCUCCCCAAGACUAUAGCUUCAGAGGUUGGUCUGACAGAAAAGAUAAACAUUGCUCUUGAAAGUGUUACACAGUUGAUAUAAUUGCUUUGAUAACUUUUUGCAUUUGAAUCUGUGCUUCUGUUUUUGGUCUUUGUUACUCAAAACACCAUUAAAGUUAGUAAUUCUGUAAGAGCAAAGAUACGAGUUUGAUGAGAAAAUUCAAGCAUCUGAUGGAGGGUUGAUUGGUCUUAAAGACCUUAUAGGUCCUUUCCUACUCCUCCAGUGAAAUGUGGUACUUUUUUCUUUUAAAAGGAAACAAGAGAGCUUGGGAAAUCUUUGUAUGCAAAACAAUUGCAUUUUGUCCCCUCAUCGUGACUUUCUUAGAUUCACAAUUUGAUAGGGUGAUUAAUAGCUGCUUAAACUUCCAAGGAGAUUUUUAAGAAAAUUACUACAUUAUCUGUUCAUAAUAAGACUUGCUGGAAAUCCUAGUCCAUCAAGUAAUUUCAAGAAGUUAUUUUUUGAUGUAAGUUGGUACCCACAGCCAUCAUACCCCAUCCCAAAUGGAAGAACUGCCUUGAACAAGAUGAGUUGAAAAUUCUUACUGAUUCCAAAUCUAAUUUAAUGACAACGUAUCAUAAUUUCAUAAAACUAUUGCCUAUUUAAAAUGAUGGAACUUGGUGUGUGUAUGAGGGUGGGGGUAUGUGUGUAUGGCAUGUGUUCUUGAAAUGAUGUUUCUUUGAAUAUCCAAAAAUACUGUACAUAGAAAUAGAAAUGCUCCAUGAAACAAGUCUUCAGCUGACCAUGGUCAAUCUAGCAUAUGUGUGGUCAGUGAGCUGGCUUUGGUCCUCAGGGACAGUGCUUGACUCCAGUGGUCUACCUAACUAGUCUUUUGCCUAGGGGCACCUGGGACCUCUCCUGGUUUUAGUGACAAAUAAUGUUAUGUUGAGGUUAUGCUUCCUUUGUUACUUGCUGACUUUCCUACUAAAUGUAGCAUUUCAAUUAGAUCCAACCUCUUACAUUUUGGGAUAAUUGUAAAAAGAAUGAAAUUAUGCAGAAAUGGCCAAUAUCUUUUAUUGAUCUGUUCUUUUGGAAACUGUUAUGCACUAUAAAUUGUGUACAGUUUAAAAAAAAAUAUAUAUAUAUAUAUAUAUUCUUACAUGAGUAAAAAGCACCCUCCAGCAAUUGUAUGUCAUUGGUAUUUGAAGAGAAUUCCCAAAUAACCCAUUGCUGCUGCUGCUGUUUUUGGUUUGUGUGGGUUUUUUGUUGUUGUUGUUGUGUUUGUUUUUGUGUGGUAAAUUGAUAAUUUAAAAAAAAAAAGGAAAGAAAAAACACGACUACUGUUUACAGACUGAAAAAUUACUGCUUUUUAUACUACUGAGAUCCUAAGUUAAGACUCUCCAAAGCAAACAUUUGGUUUAAAUCAUUUAUCUGAUGUGGAUAAAGCAUAGAGAAAUUUUUAGUGUUCUUCACAUAAUGGAAAAUGUACAAAUGCCUAGCUGUGUUGCCCAUCAAUUUUGUAUAUUUUCAUAAUUUUAAUUGUUCAAAAUUGCAUUAUAUUUUGCAAUCACUAUGUUCAACCUGGAUUUGUCUUUCAUUUAAACUUUUAAUAUAAAAAGGGGUUUCAAUGUAUCUAUGGCCUUGUUAUUGAAACUCUUCCUACUUAUUUGAUGUCAUUUAUUAAUAUGGGAAGUAUAUAUUCUUCCUUCUUCAGAACUAAGUGAAGCAUACAUAGCCAAUUCAACUAGAUGGGUUAAUUUAUAUAAACACUUCCAUUUUAAGUUG
Molecule: non-coding RNA, 4411 nt
Organism: Leptonychotes weddellii (Weddell seal)
Lineage: Eukaryota; Metazoa; Chordata; Mammalia; Carnivora; Phocidae
Source: RefSeq, a predicted model, not a curated record